Molecule: ribosomal RNA, 267 nt
Filed under: uncultured bacterium
Lineage: Bacteria
Description: partial 16S ribosomal RNA
Rfam family: Bacterial small subunit ribosomal RNA
Source: RNAcentral
GUCCACGCCGUAAACGAUGGGUGCUAGGUGUCGCGGGCUUUGACUCCUGCGGUGCCGUAGCUAACGCAUUAAGCACCCCGCCUGGGAAGUACGGCCGCAAGGCUAAAACUCAAAGGAAUUGACGGGGGCCCCGCACAAGCGGUGGAGCAUGUGGUUUAAUUCGACGCAACGCGAAGAACCUUACCUAGGCUAGAAAAUGUAGAAACCUGGCAGAAACGUCAGGGUGCUCUUCGGAGAAUCUGCAGUUAGGUGCUGCAUGGCUGUCGU